AUACGGGGGGUGCAAGCGUUAAUCGGAAUUACUGGGCGUAAAGCGCGCGUCGGCGGUUUGCUCAGUCGGAUGUGAAAGCCCAGGGCUCAACCUUGGAACUGCAUACGAUACUGGCAAACUAGAGUGUGAGAGAGGAUAGUGGAAUUUCCGGUGUAGCGGUGAAAUGCGUAGAUAUCUGAAGGAACAUCAGUGGCGAAGGCGACUGUCUGGCUCAACACUGACGCUCAGGUGCGAAAGCGUGGGUAGCAAACAGGAUUAGAUACCCUAGUAGUCC
Molecule: ribosomal RNA, 274 nt
Filed under: uncultured bacterium
Lineage: Bacteria
Description: partial 16S ribosomal RNA
Rfam family: Bacterial small subunit ribosomal RNA
Source: RNAcentral